GAUGAAGAACGUAGCAAAAUGCGAUAAGUAAUGUGAAUUGCAGAAUUCAGUGAAUCAUCGAAUCUUUGAACGCACAUUGCGCCCGCCAGUAUUCUGGCGGGCAUGCCUGUUCGAGCGUCAUUUCAACCCUCAAGCACAGCUUGGUGUUGGGACUCGCGUUAAUUCGCGUUCCCCAAAUUGAUUGGCGGUCACGUCGAGCUUCCAUAGCGUAGUAGUAAAACCCUCGUUACUGGUAAUCGUCGCGGCCACGCCGUUAAACCCCAACUUCUGAAUGUUGACCUCGGAUCAGGUAGGAAUACCCGCUGAACUUAAGCAUAUCAAGCGGAGGA
Molecule: unclassified non-coding RNA, 329 nt
Filed under: soil metagenome
Description: partial contains 5.8S ribosomal RNA, internal transcribed spacer 2, and large subunit ribosomal RNA
Rfam family: 5.8S ribosomal RNA (bases 1-120)
Source: RNAcentral